CUUUUGUAUGAUGAUAUAUAAAUACGAUAAAUUCUCGAGUCCUGAGAAAUCACUGAACUCAAAUAAAUUCUCAGUUGAGCGAGGGUUUAAACUGAAGUAAAGAAAAAUCUGACGAAAGGUUU
Molecule: non-coding RNA, 122 nt
Organism: Plasmodium berghei
Lineage: Eukaryota; Apicomplexa; Aconoidasida; Haemosporida; Plasmodiidae
Source: Rfam